GCACAAGCGGUGGAGCAUGUGGUUCAAUUCGACGCAACGCGAAGAACCUUACCCAGGCUUGAACUGCGAGUGACAUCCUACGAAAGUAGGCUUCCGCAAGGACGCUCGUAGAGGUGCUGCAUGGCUGUCGUCAGCUCGUGUCGUGAGAUGUUGGGUUAAGUCCCGCAACGAGCGCAACCCUUGUCCUUAGUUGCCAGCAUUCAGUUGGGCUCUCUAAGGAGACUGCCGUGGUGAACACGGAGGAAGGUGGGGAUGACGUCAAGUCCUCAUGGCCUUUAUAUCCAGGGCGACACACGUGAUACAAUGGACGGUACAGAGGGAAGCGAAGCCGCGAGGUGGAGCCAAUCUCAAAAAGCCGUUCUCAGUUCGGAUUGGAGUCUGCAACUCGACUCCAUGAAGUUGGAAUCGCUAGUAAUCGCGGAUCAGCACGCCGCGGUGAAUACGUUCCCGGGC
This 453-nucleotide ribosomal RNA is filed under the name uncultured bacterium. RNAcentral describes it as "bacterial SSU rRNA". It matches the Rfam family "Bacterial small subunit ribosomal RNA", at positions 923 to 1379 of the family's 1533-position model. The record is from RNAcentral.